GACGGGCAUAUCGCGUUGAAACACCGGUUCUCGUACGAUCACCGACGUUAAGUAACGUCGAGCCAGUUCAGUAUCUAGAUGGGUGACGACCUCUUGGGGAUAUCAGGUACUGUAAU
Non-coding RNA from Acanthosepion pharaonis, 116 nucleotides. NCBI's taxonomy places the organism in Eukaryota, Metazoa, Mollusca, Cephalopoda, Sepiida, Sepiidae. The record is from the annotation of a GenBank genome assembly.